This 179-nucleotide non-coding RNA is filed under the name Bacillota bacterium. Its description in RNAcentral is "6S RNA". It matches the Rfam family "6S / SsrS RNA". From Rfam's summary of the family: E. coli 6S RNA was the first non coding RNA to be sequenced, but its function was unknown until recently. It consists of 184 nucleotides that fold into an extended hairpin structure with a large single-stranded internal bulge. The record is from RNAcentral. RNAcentral also lists the same sequence under 2 other names. Lineage: Bacteria; Bacillati; Bacillota.
UAAGUUCUGCCGUGUUCGUGAUGGUUAAUAUUGUUUUGACCAACACCAAAACAAUGGGAGCCUGGACUCUAUCUGUGGCGCAUAGGCCUUUUUAAAAAGGAAAUGCAAAUCAGAUAGGAGGGCACCCACCUGGAAGACAGGGAUCAAACCUGAUAAUCACACGGCAUGGUGGAACACUA